GACGAACGCUGGCGGCGUGCCUAAUACAUGCAAGUUGAGCGCUGAAGGUUGGUACUUGUACCGACUGGAUGAGCAGCGAACGGGUGAGUAACGCGUGGGGAAUCUGCCUUUGAGCGGGGGACAACAUUUGGAAACGAAUGCUAAUACCGCAUAAAAACUUUAAACACAAGUUUUAAGUUUGAAAGAUGCAAUUGCAUCACUCAAAGAUGAUCCCGCGUUGUAUUAGCUAGUUGGUGAGGUAAAGGCUCACCAAGGCGAUGAUACAUAGCCGACCUGAGAGGGGGAUCGGCCACAUUGGGACUGAGACACGGCCCAAACUCCUACGGGAGGCAGCAGUAGGGAAUCUUCGGCAAUGGACGAAAGUCUGAACGAGCAACGCCGCGUGAGUGAAGAAGGUUUUCGGAUCGUAAAACUCUGUUGGUAGAGAAGAACGUUGGUGAGAGUGGAAAGCUCAUCAAGUGACGGUAACUACCCAGAAAGGGACGGCUAACUACGUG
This 497-nucleotide ribosomal RNA is filed under the name uncultured bacterium. RNAcentral's name for it is "partial 16S ribosomal RNA". It matches the Rfam family "Bacterial small subunit ribosomal RNA", at positions 28 to 507 of the family's 1533-position model. The record is from RNAcentral.